AUUGAACGCUGGCGGCAUGCUUUACACAUGCAAGUCGAACGGCAGCGCGGGCUUCGGCCUGGCGGCGAGUGGCGAACGGGUGAGUAAUGCAUCGGAACGUGCCCAGCAGUGGGGGCUAGCCCGGCGAAAGCCGGAUUAAUACCGCAUACGACCUGAGGGUGAAAGCGGGGGACCGAAAGGCCUCGCGCUAUUUGAGCGGCCGAUGUCGGAUUAGCUAGUUGGUGGGGUAAAGGCUUACCAAGGCGACGAUCCGUAGCUGGUCUGAGAGGACGACCAGCCACACUGGGACUGAGACACGGCCCAGACUCCUACGGGAGGCAGCAGUGGGGAAUUUUGGACAAUGGGGGCAACCCUGAUCCAGCCAUGCCGCGUGCGGGAAGAAGGCCUUCGGGUUGUAAACCGCUUUUGUUCGGGAAGAAAUCCUCUGGGCUAAUACCCCGGGGGGAUGACGGUACCGGAAGAAUAAGCACCGGCUAACUACGUG
Molecule: ribosomal RNA, 484 nt
Filed under: uncultured bacterium
Lineage: Bacteria
Description: partial 16S ribosomal RNA
Rfam family: Bacterial small subunit ribosomal RNA
Source: RNAcentral